RNAcentral lists this small RNA (566 nucleotides) under Pan troglodytes (chimpanzee). RNAcentral describes it as "retained intron". The record is from RNAcentral. Lineage: Eukaryota; Metazoa; Chordata; Mammalia; Primates; Hominidae.
AAACGCAGUAGGAAUGGGUUCAGAGAUAGCUUAAACAAUCUGAGUCCGCACUCACUCUAUUCCUGUGAGCCUGCUUAAAGUGUCUCUCAUGUACUCAUACAACUUCCCCCCCGUCCCCCAACAGCUGUUGAAGGCUGGAUUCUCUUUGUAACUGGAGUCCAUGAGGAAGCCACCGAAGAAGACAUACACGACAAAUUCGCAGAAUAUGGGGAAAUUAAAAACAUUCACCUCAACCUCGACAGGCGAACAGGAUAUCUGAAGGGGUAUACUCUAGUUGAAUAUGAAACAUACAAGGAAGCCCAGGCUGCUAUGGAGGGACUCAAUGGCCAGGAUUUGAUGGGACAGCCCAUCAGCGUUGACUGGUGUUUUGUUCGGGGUCCACCAAAAGGCAAGAGGAGAGGUGGCCGAAGACGCAGCAGAAGUCCAGACCGGAGACGUCGCUGACAGGUCCUCUGUUGUCCAGGGCCGCCCAGUAUGCUUGCUCUCUUCUUGGCCAUGCGCUGCAGAGGCAUGGAGCCAGUCCUGAGUUACAGAAACAGAUUCGACAACUGGAGAGCCACCUGAGC